Molecule: long non-coding RNA, 424 nt
Organism: Cynoglossus semilaevis (tongue sole)
Lineage: Eukaryota; Metazoa; Chordata; Actinopteri; Pleuronectiformes; Cynoglossidae
Exons: 3
Source: RefSeq, a predicted model, not a curated record
GUCCAGGUCGAGGAUCAUCCCUCCUGCCACUGCUCCUCGUGGCUGACACAUCAGGUUCCCCCCCUGGGUGAAGAAGAAGAGUCUGUCCCAGGCUGUGGUCACCAAACCUGUUUUACUGCAGGACAGAGACGAGUGCAGCAUGGCUACUCUCUUGCGAUACUGCAGUGCGUUGAGGGCACAGUAAUACUGCAGUGAGGCCUGGUGCUGCUUCCUCCUGGUGUACGCCACCUCCUUCACCAAGUCUGCCUUCAGCUGUUCACACAGGAGAGGGGAAAAACAUCCAUGAGUCCUGGCAGAGAAACAAUAUUUGAUUCCAUAUCAUUAAAAGUCUCUCAGAUUGUAGAGCGGCGCUGUUUUUCAAGACUCUGGGAUUCCUGGGGAAGAAAAAGGCUUCAUCAGUGGAGCUGGGAGUCAAAGUCACCUU